UCGGACGGAGGAGGCCGCGCGCUCUUACGUUCCGAAACACGCGAUCGUAGUUUAACUUUUCGUAGUGCAACGCUGUUUGGCUGAAUGUGUUGAUUUCAGUGCUAUAGUUUGACUGUGUGAAAAAUGUAGUGCAGAUUCUUUUUGGUAUCACCUACAAUGAGAGAGCCAAUCGGAUGAGGCGUGUUGACAGCAUGGCGGCGCUGUGAUCCAAGAUGGCUGCCGGGACAGCCGCGUGGGCCACGCUGCUUGUGUUCGUGGGGGCCAUUUGCAGGGGGCUGUCGGAGGACAACAACCAUGAGGACUUGGGUAAACAUGCCCACGGUUCACCAGACG
This is a long non-coding RNA of Ostrinia furnacalis (Asian corn borer), 333 nucleotides long. RefSeq lists it as uncharacterized. The record is from RefSeq and is a predicted model, not a curated record. The transcript is spliced from 3 exons. Lineage: Eukaryota; Metazoa; Arthropoda; Insecta; Lepidoptera; Crambidae.